RNAcentral lists this long non-coding RNA (1176 nucleotides) under Homo sapiens (human). RNAcentral describes it as "long intergenic non-protein coding RNA 632". The record is from RNAcentral. Lineage: Eukaryota; Metazoa; Chordata; Mammalia; Primates; Hominidae.
AGACAGCCUCAGAGCUGGUGGGGAGACAGCAUGCCACUGGAAAAAUUCGUAGACAUGGAAUUCCUGGAUCAAAUGAUGGUGUGCUUCUCACCUCAGCGUGAUAGCCUGACCUUGACUCCUGAGUUCCACGAUCGCUUCACAACUGCAAGUCACCAUCAUACAAAAUUUGAGUUUCCCUAAGUCCGCGCCUUUGAGAGCUUUGGAACGAUAUGCAAGUUCAAGUCACCAUCCUGUUUCUUGCUACCUCCUGUGAGAAGACCAACAUUUGGGUUACACUUGUUUCUACUCUUGUUCUUCUGCUUGUUAUUGUUGCCUCUGCAGCCAUUGAUCACACACGUGUUGUCAUACAAAAACUGGUUAGCCUUUUUAUUUGUCUUGUGAAUUUUAUCAUUUGGUUCUUAAGUAUUACAAAUUAAUAUUGUGUACUCUCAUUGAUAUACAACUUGCAGUCAUUGUAAAUAUGCGUGAGUUAGGGGUGAGAAUGGCAUGCAAGCAAAAGAACAAGGAGAGGGAUGAUAGAGAUGCAAGAAGAGUAAAGAGGGCAAGAAAGUUUAUGUUAAUAGCGAACACAAUGAAAGUUCUUUAAAUGCUUGAUAAUGGUGAAAGCAACACUUCCUAGGGCAUAUUUUUGGUGUUAAUGAACCUACACAUCAUACAAUAAAGAAAAUUGAGAAAGCAGUUGGGGCCAGUGAAUCGGGGGCACACAAGAAUCACUGAGAAAAUCAUACACAACUCAAAAUGCCACAAUAGGGAAAAUAUAAAGAGAUUUGCACUUGUGGCUUCUAAAACAGAGAAGGUUGAAUAGGUCUCUUUCUGUGUGUAAAAUCUGCCAGUGAGCAUCACAAAAAUGCAAAUUUAAAUUUCAAUCUGGAUGGAAAGUUAUAAAAUUCAUUGCAAGUAAUGGGUGGUUGGGUAGGUUUAAGAAAUGCCAGGUGGGUGGAUCACUUGAGGUCUGGAGUUUGCAACUAGCCUGGCCAACAUGGUGAAACCUUGUCUCUACUAAAAAUACAAAAAUUAGCCAGGAUUGGUGGCGGGUACCUGUAAUCUCAGCUACUCAGGAGGCUGAGGCAGGAGAAUCGCUUGAACCUAGGAGGCAGAGGUUGCAGUGAGCUGAGAUCGUGCCAUCGCACUCCAGCCUGGGUGACGAGAGCAAAGCUCUGUCUCAAAAAAAGAAAA